RNAcentral lists this long non-coding RNA (2692 nucleotides) under Canis lupus familiaris (dog). Its description in RNAcentral is "lncRNA (ENSCAFG00040023490.1)". Lineage: Eukaryota; Metazoa; Chordata; Mammalia; Carnivora; Canidae. The record is from RNAcentral.
AUAAAAUCUAACUGCCUUAAUAGGCCCACCUGGCCCUUCCCGAGGCCCCAGCCACACGCCUCUCUGUUUUCUAGCCUUCCAAAUUAAAAUUUAAAAAAGCAUCUGGUUCAAAGGACAUGUUUUAUUUAUAACAUUAAAACCGAGCUCUUGAUUACGUCCCUCCCCUUUCCCUAACGGUUUCCUGCCACCACCUUGAACUCCUCUAACACGGAGCCCAGAAGACACUCACCAAAUACUUGUUGACGGGUCUGCAGAGAACGGGGAGUUUUGCACCUCCGGGGCCAGGUGUUCGGUGAGCAAUGCUAAAGAGACACUGGGAGAUCGCUUGCCAGUCCAUGAAUUAUGCAUGGAUUUCUACUUCCCUUCCCAAAGCGAGCACUAGCACCGUGGACGGUAGCUCUUCUCCAAAGAGGCCCCGGGGACCCAGACCUCCCACAUUCAUACUCCUGUCCACAUCACCCCACAUUGACUCUCUUUGGCCCCGUGACCCACUUUAACCAAAAGAAUGUGGUGGAAAUGGGACACGGCACCAACAGCUUCUACGUUGGCCCUUUUGGGAGCGUUGAACCGCCACCUCCGAUGUCCAGCUGCCCUUCUGGAGAGUCUCCAGGGCAACACUGAGGCCCUGGGUCUACAUGGAAGGAAGGCAGAGGCCCAGGUAUCCCAACACUCCAGAUGAGCCAGUUUCCCAGGCACCUGUGACAAGGCCUGGACAUGUGCUGAAGCCUCCUUGGCUGCUCUAACCCAAGCUUCAGGGCGACUGCAAACAGGAGAGAGUCCCAAUCAUCAGAGGAGCCAUCCAGCUGUGCACCAUCAGUGGAGAGAAUCAUGCAAAAUAAUAAAACAGUUGUUUAUAAAUAAUAAUAAAUAAUAAUAAACAGUUGUUUAUAAAUAAUAAUAAACUGUUGUUUAUAAAUAAUAAAUAAUAAUAAACAGUUGCUUAUCAAUGAUAAUAAAUAAUAAUAAACUGUUGUUUAGCUAUUCAGUGUUGAGUGGUUCGUUAUACAGCAACACGGACAACUGAAACACUAUGUGCCCAGACGCCUGGCAAUCCUCUUUUCAUUUCUCCCCUUCAUCCUCCACAUUGGGGUUCCAGCCCCUUUGAUGAUGCCUCCUAAAUAUUUCUUGAAUAGCACGUCCCCCCCACCCCCAUGCCACUGCCCAUUCCAAAUCCCCCUUCUCCAGCAUUGGAUGCCUCCUGUAGCAACAGGAAUCAUCUAAAAUGCUAAUAUGAUUAUGGUUUAUGCUGGCCAUCUAGAACUUUCUCAUCGAUCUCUAUGGUUUUUAGGAUAAAGUCCAAUCCUCUAACCAUUGCUUACAAAUCUGUGCAGGCUCUUGUCCCUGCCUAUUUUGCAGCUUCACCUUAUGUGACUCUACAUUACCAAUCAUCCUUGAUUUGUUUCAAUUUUUUCAGGGUAUCAUGUUGUCUCUUGAUUCCUUUUGCUUUUUUCCUUGUUGUUCUUUCUACCGAAAAUACUUUCUCCUGUGGUCAUCCCUUCCCCUUUCUCCUUUUUUCAAAUUCCUGCUCAUCCUUCAGGUCUUAGUUUAAAUAUCAUUUCCUCCUGGGAGCCUUCUCUGAUCCUCCAAGCCUGGAUUUGUUGUCCCUGCCAAGUGCUCCCAUAUCAUUCAUCAAUUCUUUCAUUCAUCAAAUUUUUAUUGAGCUUAUACUAUGAGUCAUACACUGUGUCAUCCUUCCCCUAUAAUAGCACUCAUCAUCCUGUUCUGUAAUUAUUUGUUUGUCUGGCUCUGCCGUGAGCCUGCAGGCUUGUCAAGGGAAAAGACUCUGUUUAUCUCAUUCUACUUUGUACCCCUGGUGUUUAGCACGUAAUAGAUGCUCAGUGCAAUGUAAUGAAUAAGUGAAACUAAAGUCAGUCUCCCCAGAUGGUAUGGCUAGUGGAAGGAAAUAAUUAUUCAAUACAUACUUGUUUCUGAUAAACAAACCACCUAAUAUUUUAUUUUAUUUUAUUUUAUUUAUUUUAUUUUAUUUUAUUUAUUUAUUUUAUUUUUUUUACCACCUAAUAGUGAAUAUUUGGCAAUAAAAAAGUUCAUGGUUUACUGGAGACAAAGUACAAUUUUCAGGGACAAAUCAGGAUAAAGACUCAAGUCCAGUUUGGCUUUCUCAAAGUAUAGUUAUUUACAAAUUAAGGGGCUAUAGUAGAGACCACUGAGUGUUAAGCCAGCGGCUUUGAUUCUGGCCCAUUGCAAACAUCGGGCUAGAUAGGAAAGCUAAAGCCAGAGAGUCACUGCAUCAUUUAUUUCACAGACAGCACUGGUGUCUGGGUACUACUCUGAGAACAGCUUAAAUAUAUUUGCUACAGAAAGAUAGGAUGUGAGGAAUAUCUUUAUCCCAAAGACCAAGCAUGCCUCAAUGAUGAGUGGUUUCCAGGGUGCUUAGACCUGGUAAUUGUGGGUCCCUCCCAAGAAGGACUGUCCCCCCGUUGGCUGUUAGGGAGCUUGGAGAAUGCUGGGUAAGUCAGUUUCAGAUAAUUGCCUCGCAUUCAUGGCCCCAUUUUAGGGUGAUUUCUGCAACAAACCUGGAGCAGCCACCAAAGCAUAGGGGGCAGACAAACAGGCAGAGCCCCCGCCACCGUGGAACAUGCGUUGGCAGCCAUCGGUGGCUGUUUCUGGCCAGCGAGGUUCUUGUAUUCAUCGCAAAGACUUUCUACUUUUAGCCUAAUUUUGGUAGUCCUUU